UUAAUUGAAGAGUUUGAUCAUGGCUCAGAUUGAACGCUGGCGGCAGGCCUAACACAUGCAAGUCGAGCGGCAGCACAGAGGAACUUGUUCCUUGGGUGGCGAGCGGCGGACGGGUGAGUACGGCCUGUGAAAUUGCCCGGUAGAGGGGGAUAACCAUUGGAAACGAUGGCUAAUCACGAAUAACCUCGCAAGAGCAAAGCAGGGGACCU
This 209-nucleotide ribosomal RNA is filed under the name Vibrio cholerae. RNAcentral describes it as "partial 16S ribosomal RNA". It matches the Rfam family "Bacterial small subunit ribosomal RNA", at positions 1 to 213 of the family's 1533-position model. Lineage: Bacteria; Pseudomonadati; Pseudomonadota; Gammaproteobacteria; Vibrionales; Vibrionaceae. The record is from RNAcentral.